AGCGCAGGCGGGUUGGCAAGUCCUUGGUGAAAUCCUGAGGCUUAACCUCAGGACUGCCAAUGAUACUGCCGAUCUUGAGUGCAGAAGAGGAAGAUGGAAUUCCUGGUGUAGCGGUGAAAUGCGUAGAUAUCAGGAAGAACACCGGUGGCGAAGGCGGUCUUCUGGUCUGUAACUGACGCUCAUGCUCGAAAGCGUGGGGAGCAAACAGGAUUAGAUACCCUGGUAGUCCACGCCCUAAACGAUGGAUACUCGAUGUCGGGUCGCAAGGCCCGGUGUCCAAGCUAACGCGUUAAGUAUCCCACCUGGGGAGUACGAUCGCAAGGUUGAA
This 328-nucleotide ribosomal RNA is filed under the name uncultured bacterium. RNAcentral describes it as "bacterial SSU rRNA". It matches the Rfam family "Bacterial small subunit ribosomal RNA", at positions 568 to 898 of the family's 1533-position model. The record is from RNAcentral.